AAAAAAAGAUAAUAAAUAAAUUUAAGGGUAUAAUUACAUAUAACUUUAUUAGGUUUAAAAUUGAUGUUGCGAUUAGUGUGGGCUAAUCCGUCAGCUGUCCAGUAUAUAGUAUUUUUAAAGCGGACAACAAACGGCUGCAGACUUAAUUGACAGUCUUCAAUUAGGCUGCAGUGAUUUUCUUUUAUUUUUUUGGAUUCUCAUUAUUACGGACAAUAGUUCAUAAAUAAUAAAUAAAAAGCAAUCCGGUUCGUAGACGGUUUUGUUCGUUUGGACUGCUAUAACCAUUCAAAGCUUUAGUCUUUGCAUGAAAUCACUAAGAUUAUGAUCAAUGUAAAUGUAGUCUCACAUUCUUCUACUUGAAGCUAUUU
Molecule: small RNA, 368 nt
Filed under: Arabidopsis thaliana (thale cress)
Lineage: Eukaryota; Viridiplantae; Streptophyta; Magnoliopsida; Brassicales; Brassicaceae
Description: ATSL216160
Source: RNAcentral